This 101-nucleotide ribosomal RNA is filed under the name Campylobacter coli. RNAcentral's name for it is "partial 23S ribosomal RNA". It matches the Rfam family "Bacterial large subunit ribosomal RNA", at positions 2835 to 2925 of the family's 2925-position model. Lineage: Bacteria; Pseudomonadati; Campylobacterota; Epsilonproteobacteria; Campylobacterales; Campylobacteraceae. The record is from RNAcentral. RNAcentral also lists the same sequence under 1 other name.
CUCUAGAAGACUACUAGUUUGAUAGGCUGGGUGUGUAAUGGAUGAAAGUCCUUUAGCUGACCAGUACUAAUAGAGCGUUUGGCUUAUCUUUAAUAAAGCAU